This 232-nucleotide ribosomal RNA is filed under the name Dasyhelea saxicola. Its description in RNAcentral is "partial 16S ribosomal RNA". The record is from RNAcentral. Lineage: Eukaryota; Metazoa; Arthropoda; Insecta; Diptera; Ceratopogonidae.
GGAAUUAACUUUUUUAUUUUAAAAAAUUGAAAUUAAAUUUUUAGUAAAAAUGCUAAAAUAUUUAUAUAAGACGAGAAGACCCUUUAAAUCUUUAUUAUUUUAACUAUAAUUUUUUAUUUAAUAUGAUUUAUUAGUAUAAUUAAAAUAAUUUUAUUGGGGUGAUAUUGAAAUUUAAUUAACUUUCAAUUUUUAUUUCAUAAAUAAAUGAAUUUUUGAUCCAUUAUUAAUGAUU